UAUGAAUUCACCGUUCACAUCAAUGGUGAAGUAAUGCAAGCAUUGACCCAUCCUACAAAUCUAGGUGGGAAAUUUAGGAGAGUGACGGUCUGAAUGAUGAAUUCCCAAUUGAUUGAAUCGAAAGUUUUCUGCAAGGCAAUCUUAAUAGCACAUCUUGGGGUACCCGAGUCCAAAUGAUAACAAUGAAAGAGUUCUUGGGCUAAAAGGAUAUUGUCACUGAUGUUUCUGUUUGGUAUGAAUUCUUUCAGUUUCAGUGUUAAUCAUUAUUGAUUCUAAUUCAGCAGACCCUAGAAACUGAUGGGACUUUCUUUUAUUUUAUCUAUCGAAUCCGCUAUAAAGAUGUAUAUCAUCACACUAGGGUUUCAAGGUUUCUUGUUGGUGUGAUUUAAUAGUAUACAAUGAAUUCAAGACUGAGGUUGUAGGUUUCUGUAUAUGAAGUUUUAGUAAUCUGGAAUUAAUGGGUUUCAUUCAGUUCAAUUUCUUUAGUGAUGAAGAUAGGGUUUGUUAAUGUAUAACGGAAGAAUGUUCAUUCAUUUUGGAAUUUGGAUUAAGUGAUCUUGUUUACUUCUGGGGAUAGAGUUGAGAAUUGAGUUUGUGUUUUUCAAUUUA
Long non-coding RNA from Cornus florida, 609 nucleotides. RefSeq lists it as uncharacterized. Lineage: Eukaryota; Viridiplantae; Streptophyta; Magnoliopsida; Cornales; Cornaceae. The transcript has 2 exons. The record is from RefSeq and is a predicted model, not a curated record.